GCCCACGCCGCAGCUGCAUCAAGUCCAGAGUUCGCAAGUGCUCGUGCCGGCACAGUGCUGCUUAGCGUCCCUAGAGUCUAAUUGUGCUUGUUUGCUUCAGUCCACAGCUCGGCAAACGGAGGAGACGUAGGCCAAUCACAGAGGAAUGUUUCAGCUCUGUGGAGGUCGGGGGUUCACGGGGUCGUCCAGAACAAUCGCUCAGCAGUGAACGAGGGUCCUCGUGUGGAUCCAAACGCAGGCGGCUGGAAGCAGCGAUGGGAAAGCAGAGGGUUCUGUUUGUUCCUAGUUCAUCUCUGAGAGCUUUUCCUCGGGGCAGCCCGCUGUCAACCGCGUCCUGUUUCUCCUCCUCAGCUUCAUCUUCCUCCUCCUCCUCUUCCUCCUCCUCCUCCUACCUCACUCCAGCAUCAGAGGAGGGUGUAGAGGAGGUGGCUUUGGCUGUGGCAGGUUCCACAGGAGAAGCCAGUACUGGUUCUGUCAGCCAGUUGAGGAGGGAAAGAGUGACGACGGCUCCAUCGUCGUCCUCGUUGCUGCCGGCCUCUGACUCUCUGUCCUUUCUGACAGCGGAGGAGAGGAGAUGGCUGAACGGUGAACGAGGAAACACCUCAACAGCAGCGGAGGAGAUCAUCAUCAGUGACGAUGAGGAGGCCAUGGUUCGCGCGGCACAAAUGGAGGAAGAUGAGGCGUUGGCGCAGAGCCUGCAGGCCCAGUUUGACCAAGAGGAGGUGCACAGCAGCCACCAGCACCACCAGCACCACCAGCGCCUCUACCAGCACAGCCACCACAGGUAUUAUUCCCACAUGGAACCCAGCUGGAUGUCCCAUGUGCUGGCUGCAGUGGCUCCCCCUGCUGGCGUGGAAGAAGAUCUGAUUGGUCGGCAGAGAAGACGUGGGCGGACCAGAGGGAGGAACGCCGUGCCCAGCAUGUCAGAGGACGCUCAGGGAAACGACUACGAGGCUCUUCUGGCGUUUGAGGAACACCAAGGUGCCGUUGUGUCAAAGAAGUUGACGCGAAGGCAAAUCCAGAGAUUUCCCACCAAAACCUUCCAGUCCACCAACAGCGCCGGGAACACUCAGUGUCAGAUCUGUUUCUGUGAAUACACUGAGGGGGACAAGCUGAGGAUGUUGCCGUGUUUCCAUGACUACCACGUCCAGUGUAUUGACCGGUGGUUAAAGGAUAACACCACCUGCCCGAUCUGCAGAGCGAACCUUGCUGAUGGUGACUUCUCCGCCCCCCCGACCCUCUGACGGCGUCUGUGCUGGCAUCGCCCAGUUUCAGCGUCCCCUCCCGCCCCCUCCUGCCAGAAUAAAAAGCUAAAACCUGGAAGCUGCUGCUGAGUCGUCUGAUAUCGAACCAGCUAGAGACAAAGUUAAAGAUGUUUUCCACGUACACCUCUGAUGUGUGGAGACGUCUUCAUUCCUCGUAGUAGCGUUUCUUCAUGGCUCUGUAUUUCCUCAGGUAGUACAGCGCCUCCAGCUCUCUGGCCACGUACUCCCCUCGAGCGAUCAUCUCCUUGAUCUGCUCCGGGUCCUGGACCGACUUGUUUUUGGUGAACGCGGAUCUCAGCCGGUCUCUGAAGUAGUCGCCUCCUUUGGGAUACUCCCGGCCGAGGUAGAGGAGCUAAGGAAGAGUUUUGGAUUUUAAAUUGAACACACGUUGCCUCAUUAAUAAAGACACUUAAACACUUUGUUAAGAAAAUCAUUUAGCUCUGAAGGUUCGAUGUUUUAAACCAAGAGACGACACGUCUCCACUUUCUCCAGAAAUGAAGCUGAAACUUGUGAUGUCAUUAAGAGUCAGUGAAAUAAAAGUCAUUCAUCUGUGAACGUG
Molecule: non-coding RNA, 1824 nt
Organism: Paralichthys olivaceus (Japanese flounder)
Lineage: Eukaryota; Metazoa; Chordata; Actinopteri; Pleuronectiformes; Paralichthyidae
Source: RefSeq, a predicted model, not a curated record